GCCCUGAAACUGGUAGUUUUUCCCCAAAAUCCAGAACCUCUGGAAUUUUUGAUGGGAUUGGUGAAUUGGAAUUUGAUAGUAGGCAUCAUUUAGGUCUAUUGGAGUUAACCAGCCCCCAAAAAGGCAAAAUAAAAAUCCAUAAUAACCGUCGCACUUUAAAAAACAAACAAACAAAAAAAUUAUCCAUCUUCACCCUUGGAGGGCUCCGCACAGACUGAGCUCUGCAGGGUGGGGCAAGGCUUUAUAAACUCUGCAGUUAGGCUC
Molecule: non-coding RNA, 264 nt
Organism: Pelobates cultripes (western spadefoot toad)
Lineage: Eukaryota; Metazoa; Chordata; Amphibia; Anura; Pelobatidae
Source: the annotation of a GenBank genome assembly